GUACACGCUGUGACUAGCAUAUCAAUAAGCGGAGGAAAAGAAACUAACAAGGAUUCCCCUAGUAACGGCGAGUGAAGCGGGAAGAGCUCAAAUUUGAAAUCUUAAAGGGUUUCCCUUUACGAAUUGUAGUUUAAAGAAGUGUUUUCUGUUGAGGUUUUGGUAAAAGUUCUUUGGAAUAGGACAUCAUAGAGGGUGAGAAUCCCGUAUUUGACCUUUACUUUCAACUUUGUGAUACACUUUCAAAGAGUCGGAUUGUUUGGGAAUGCAGUCCAAAAUGGGUGGUAAAUUUCAUCUAAAGCUAAAUAUUGGCGAGAGACCGAUAGCGAACAAGUACCGUGAGGGAAAGAUGAAAAGAACUUUGAAAAGAGAGUUAAACAGUACGUGAAAUUGUCAAAAGGGAAGCGUUUGACACCAGUGUUGUUUUUCUGAAAAUCAAUUAAAGAACUGUUUAUGCUAAGCUGUUUAGACUUUAUCAGCUAACUGUUUAGUUUUGAGCUUUUCUUUAAUGCACUUUUCAGUUAACAAGUCAACAUCAAUUUCUUUUGCUGUAAAAAAGCUUGAGGAAGGUGGCUUGAGAUUCGUCUUAAGUGUUUAUAGCCUCUUGCCUAUGCAGUCGGAGAGAUUGAGGUCUGCAGCGUAGAUCCUUCGGGGCUAAAUGCAUUUGUGCUAAGUUAUAGCAUUUCAUAGACAACUUGUUGACUAUGAUUUGUCUUGUAGCUUACUCGCUUAUGUUAUUUUACCUACGCUUAGGAUGUUGAAUCUGUGCGAGACUAC
RNAcentral lists this ribosomal RNA (774 nucleotides) under uncultured Neocallimastigales. RNAcentral's name for it is "partial large subunit ribosomal RNA". It matches the Rfam family "Eukaryotic large subunit ribosomal RNA", at positions 22 to 644 of the family's 3401-position model. The record is from RNAcentral. Lineage: Eukaryota; Fungi; Neocallimastigomycota; Neocallimastigomycetes; Neocallimastigales.